UACAGAGGGGGCAAGCGUUGUUCGGAAUUACUGGGCGUAAAGGGCGCGUAGGCGGCCUGUUAAGUCGAACGUGAAAUCCCCGGGCUCAACCCGGGAACUGCGUCCGAUACUGGCAGGCUUGAAUCCGGGAGAGGGAUGUGGAAUUCCAGGUGUAGCGGUGAAAUGCGUAGAUAUCUUGAGGAACACCGGUGGCGAAGGCGGCAUCCUGGACCGGUAUUGACGCUGAGGCGCGAAAGCCAGGGGAGCAAACGGG
RNAcentral lists this ribosomal RNA (253 nucleotides) under uncultured bacterium. Its description in RNAcentral is "partial 16S ribosomal RNA". It matches the Rfam family "Bacterial small subunit ribosomal RNA", at positions 524 to 776 of the family's 1533-position model. The record is from RNAcentral.